UUUUAUGGAAUUAGUCAAAUAUGCUCGAAACCCGUCGUAUCACGUAUGGGUUGAACACGUUUCUUUCUCUGCCGCCGGGAUAUAGGGUCACACCUAGGGUUUCAAAUCAGUUGCUUCAUCUUCUUCCUACCGAUCUCAGAAAUCCACAAGUUACAGAUUUCUCCUAUUAAAGUCUUCUUAAAAUCAUCAUCCACGAUCUACUUUCAAUGUGAACUUUGCUCUUAGAAGGCGGUGGGACUUUAAGUAUAUAAAGAAGUUGAGUUGUUGAAAGAGAGGAUGGCGAAGCUACUGCUUGGUGAAGACAUGUCAGGUUCUGGUGAAGGAGUUUGUCCUGCCAUCACCAAUCUCUACAGCAAUUAUCUUUAGCUAUGAAUGUUUAUAUGAUAUUAAGGAGAUAAAUGGUGGCUUCCUCUGCCAUGUGUGCCAUCUGAUGGAUUCUCUGAGCAGUCCAAGAAACAGCUUGACUGCACUUAUGAUUUCACUAACCAAAUUUUGAAAGCGUCUAAGUCAGUCAACAACAUUGCGUUAGCUGAAAUGGAAGUUCCAAAAGCAUACAUUGAAGCUCUUCUAAUAGAAACUUUAAAUCUCAUAGCCAGUUUUCUGAAGUUGCGUCUGAAUUCUGUCUACAGAACGGGAGACCAUGUCUUGGAGAUUUUCUUUAUAGAAACAUUACAUCUGAUAACUUCUCAGCAGGUUACUUGCUUGGACUCAGUAGAUCUUUCUUCGGAGCAUGUUGUUGUGGAGAUGGAGAAUAGAGUAGAAGCAUCAACGUACAUCUGGAGGAGAAGAGCUCAUUCAAGGCAUUUGAUUUCACUGUAUAGAUCCACUGGUGCAAGACCCUCUUGGGGGGGUGAUAGUGAAAAAGAUGAUGAAUCAAGCGGUAACACUUUUGAUUGGUCGGAGAAGGAAAGCGGUUCGCAGCUGAAGAGAGCUCAAGAGAGAGAGAGAGAGCAUAAUCCCUAAACGGUAACACUCUUGAAAUUCCAAUCUACUUUUUUGAAUUUUGGUUUUCUUGAACAUUGGAGCUACUAAAGGAAAGUAUUUAUCGAUGUGGGUAGUGGAAAAGAAGUAUUGGAACAUGAUGGUUUGUUAACAAUAUUUUUUUUUCCCUAAAAUGUGAAUAUCAAAUUAAUGAAAGGCUUAGGUUUACAAGGCCUAUAUUUGUGUUACCUUGGCAAAAAAGAAUAAAAAA
Molecule: long non-coding RNA, 1192 nt
Organism: Brassica oleracea var. oleracea
Lineage: Eukaryota; Viridiplantae; Streptophyta; Magnoliopsida; Brassicales; Brassicaceae
Exons: 2
Source: RefSeq, a predicted model, not a curated record